Dermatophagoides farinae (American house dust mite) is the source of this 188-nucleotide non-coding RNA. Lineage: Eukaryota; Metazoa; Arthropoda; Arachnida; Sarcoptiformes; Pyroglyphidae. The record is from RefSeq and is a predicted model, not a curated record.
GUUGUUUGCCAUGGUAACCCCGUCAUUUUGUGAUUUUUUUUCUGUGUUUAUCUGUCAUAAUAAUUCAUCAACGAUUUAUCCACAAAUUUUAUAGAGUCUCAAAAAAAAACUUCUGUUUGCACUAUGUAGAGCACCAUUGAUGAUAAUAAUAAUAAUAAUAAUAAAAUUAUUGUCUGUCAAACAAACGA